AGAGUUUGAUCAUGGCUCAGAUUGAACGCUGGCGGUAGGCCUAACACAUGCAAGUCGAACGCGAAAGUCCUUCGGGAUGAGUAGAGUGGCGGACGGGUGAGUAACGCGUAGGAAUCUAUCCUGUAGUGGGGGAUAACGUUUCGAAAGGAACGCUAAUACCGCAUACGCCCUACGGGGGAAAGCGGGGGAUCUUCGGACCUCGUGCUAGAGGAGGAGCCUGCGUCGGAUUAGCUAGUUGGUGAGGUAAAGGCUCACCAAGGCGACGAUCCGUAGCUGGUCUGAGAGGAUGAUCAGCCACACCGGAACUGAGACACGGUCCGGACUCCUACGGGAGGCAGCAGUGGGGAAUAUUGCGCAAUGGGCGAAAGCCUGACGCAGCCAUACCGCGUGUGUGAAGAAGGCCUUCGGGUUGUAAAGCACUUUCAGUGGGGAGGAAAAGCUGGUGGCUAAUAUCCAUCGGCCGUGACGCUACCCACAGAAGAAGCACCGGCUAAUUCCGUG
RNAcentral lists this ribosomal RNA (501 nucleotides) under uncultured bacterium. RNAcentral describes it as "bacterial SSU rRNA". It matches the Rfam family "Bacterial small subunit ribosomal RNA", at positions 8 to 507 of the family's 1533-position model. The record is from RNAcentral.